Molecule: long non-coding RNA, 837 nt
Organism: Oncorhynchus tshawytscha (Chinook salmon)
Lineage: Eukaryota; Metazoa; Chordata; Actinopteri; Salmoniformes; Salmonidae
Exons: 3
Source: RefSeq, a predicted model, not a curated record
GAAAGAUGGGAAGGUUGUCCAAGCUGAAAGGAAAGAUGGGAAGGUUGUCCAAGCUGAAAGGAAAGAUGGGAAGGUUGUCCAAGCUGAAAGGAAAGAUGGGAAGGUUGUCCAAGCUGAAAGGAAAGAUGGGAAGGUUGUCCAAGCUGAAAGGAAAGAUGGGAAGGUUGUCCAAGCUGAAAGGAAAGAUGGGAAGGUUGUCCAAGCUGAAAGGAAAGAUGGGAAGGUUGUCCAAGCUGAAAGGAAAGAUGGGAAGGUUGUCCAAACUGAAAGGGAAGAUGUGAAUGUAGGUGGGGAGUGUGUGAUGAGCAGUAACCAAAGGCAGGAGGAGAAAGAAAGGGAUGUUUCUGGACAGUUCCCCGCUGAACUGGUACCGACCUUCUGAAGAAAGUUAACGCGAACUGAGGAAGAGGAGGGUGUGUCUCUUGGACAGAGGCCACCGCCAAAGAGGGAAAGGUCAGACACAAGCAAAGUGUUGGAGAGUAGGCUGGACUACACAGGGGAACUGGAACCUCCUGACCCGUUGACCUGAUUGCCUCAGCUCAAACAUCUCAUCAGACAGAUGGUCAGAGACCUGGGCACCGUGCAUCAGAUGUCCCUCUGCUCCUCCAACACAUGAGUGCCCCACUGAGUUCAUCACUUCACCACAGAGACCUGGCUGGAGCAGGGCGUAGCAAGCAACACUACAGUACAAAUGAUGGGUAGGGGAGUAACACAAACUGUCAUUAAUCAGUUAUUAUACCAGCAAAACUAUUGUAAUCAGAUUACAGAUCCUUUUGAAAAACUACAUUACUUCUUGGAUUACUUUUAAUAUCAGAAAAUAAAUACAUUAUGACACCU